CAGCUCUGGAAUAAGGAACUCACGGAGGAGAGGACCCCCGUUCAGUUCCCAGUGUUGACUGAGGAGUUGGCAUAAUUGCCAGUGAUAAAGAUGCUGGAUGAUUAGAGACAUGUCUGUGUUUACUUUGGGCAUACGUUUCACAAGUGAACCUCAUGGAUGUCCCUUCACAGCCUCUGAGACUGAAGCUCCUAUCACAGGUGACAUUCUGGUAUACUGGGUCCCUGCAGAAAAGAAAAUGCCACCAUGGCUUGUGCUUCUCCCCUGUUGCUGAGAUCUGUGGCUGAAAGGAGAUGGAGGACAAGCCUGGGGACUGGAGCAAGCUGGUACAAGCUUCCAGGAACUAUACCACAGUCAUCUCCCACAACCUGGAGACCAAGAAGACCUGAGUGAAGCUGCCUUCAGGGUCCAAGAAGGUGAAUUCCUCAGCCAACAGAGCUGUUGUUAGUGUCUUGGUUGCUAAGGGCAAAAUUGACUAGAGAUGGACAACUGGCUAACACAGAGCCACAAGGCAAGUUUGUGAAAUCACCUUGGGUCCUGGAACUCCACCCUGUGCCCCCUCUAUACUAAGGUACCAUGAUUCUUAACCUCUGAAGAUUUAAUGAUGUAAAGGGCAG
This 614-nucleotide long non-coding RNA is filed under the name Mus caroli (Ryukyu mouse). RNAcentral describes it as "lncRNA (MGP_CAROLIEiJ_G0003228.1)". The record is from RNAcentral. Lineage: Eukaryota; Metazoa; Chordata; Mammalia; Rodentia; Muridae.